CAGUCGCCGCGGUAACACGUAGGUGGCAAGCGUUGUCCGGAAUUAUUGGGCGUAAAGCGCGCGCAGGUGGUUUAAUAAGUCUGAUGUGAAAGCCCACGGCUCAACCGUGGAGGGUCAUUGGAAACUGUUAAACUUGAGUGCAGGAGAGAAAAGUGGAAUUCCUAGUGUAGCGGUGAAAUGCGUAGAGAUUAGGAGGAACACCAGUGGCGAAGGCGGCUUUUUGGCCUGUAACUGACACUGAGGCGCGAAAGCGUGGGGAGCAAACAGGAUUAGAUACCCCAGUAGUCCCUGUCUCUUAUAC
Molecule: ribosomal RNA, 301 nt
Filed under: uncultured bacterium
Lineage: Bacteria
Description: partial 16S ribosomal RNA
Rfam family: Bacterial small subunit ribosomal RNA
Source: RNAcentral